GGGGGUGUAGCUCAAUGGUACAGCCCUUGCCUAGCAUAUAUCAGAACCUGGGUUCAAUUCCCAAGCACCACCA
Molecule: non-coding RNA, 73 nt
Organism: Ictidomys tridecemlineatus (thirteen-lined ground squirrel)
Lineage: Eukaryota; Metazoa; Chordata; Mammalia; Rodentia; Sciuridae
Source: Rfam